UGGGUAAUAUUGGACAAUGGGCGCAAGCCUGAUCCAGCCAUGCCGCGUGAGUGAUGAAGGCCCUAGGGUUGUAAAGCUCUUUCACCGGUGAAGAUAAUGACGGUAACCGGAGAAGAAGCCCCGGCUAACUUCGUGCCAGCAGCCGCGGUAAUACGAAGGGGGCUAGCGUUGUUCGGAUUUACUGGGCGUAAAGCGCACGUAGGCGGACUAUUAAGUCAGGGGUGAAAUCCCGGGGCUCAACCCCGGAACUGCCUUUGAUACUGGUAGUCUUGAGUUCGAGAGAGGUGAGUGGAAUUCCGAGUGUAGAGGUGAAAUUCGUAGAUAUUCGGAGGAACACCAGUGGCGAAGGCGGCUCACUGGCUCGAUACUGACGCUGAGGUGCGAAAGCGUGGGGAGCAAACAGG
Molecule: ribosomal RNA, 404 nt
Filed under: Verrucomicrobiota bacterium
Lineage: Bacteria; Pseudomonadati; Verrucomicrobiota
Description: Verrucomicrobia bacterium partial 16S ribosomal RNA
Rfam family: Bacterial small subunit ribosomal RNA
Source: RNAcentral